AGGUCCGUUAAGUGGCUCCUGGGUCGUUGGCCACGCCUACCUCGGAGUAAGCGCUUGUGAUUGGCUUUCCCUUUGAAAUCCUUCCUAUAGUCUGUGUGCUAUAGUUGGCUCCUCUCCCUUCUGCCCCGCCUUGAGGUAUCACGAGGUCCGGCGUCGUCCGUUGGGCCGAUGAAGGCGAAGCAGGUCCCGCCCAUCCGCCCCGCUGGCUUCUCUGAUUGGCCCCUUCUCGCCGCGCUCCCCCACUAACAGACUCGCUUUUGCAGUCCUCCCCAAACGGAAUAUCAGACCUUGGAAUUAGGUGAAAGAACCCUCCUGGGCACUAUCUUCUUCCAAAAUGUUCCUGGAGCUCGGUGUGCGAGGAUGCUACCUCAGGCCCGAUUCUUAUUGGAAGAGAGCUUUUUUAGCAUCUGGUGGGAAGUUGGUCCUGAACUCUUGGGAGACAGAUGGGCUGCAAGGAAAGCAGAUGCCCUGCAGUUGUGCGUGGGAGUGAACCGCUGUGCCUUCCUGACUGGAGUUCUUCAGAGAUCUAGAACCGAGAUUACAGGUUCCCAGCCCCAGAGAUGGCCCUCUGGGCAAAUUGCUAAGACUAUAAUAAAACUCCUUUUUUAGUCACAGACUUUGAAGUUAUUUUUGGAGUAGAGAGGAGAGAGCACGCCCAAAUCUCUUCCAGAACUUCUUUUUAUUCCUCAAUCACUUGGAGGCUGAUUAGCCAGCCCAGGAAGCAAAGUUGGGAAGACUGACAAUAACCUAUCUUCCCUGGAGGUUGUAGUUUGGGAAAUGGGGAGGGGGGGAGUGUCAGUGUUUAUUGCAUGAUUCAUUUUCCUUCCUAUAUUAUUUUUUUUUAGUGCUUUCUUAGGUAAAGACUCCCCUACCCUACUAUAAUGUUAAAGUAAGUUACUUCUGACCGGUCAAGAGAGGUUGAGAGGAAAAUGGGGGCUCGUGAGCAGCGGUUGACUAGAUGGCGGUGAACCCAGAGCGGUUUUGGGGGAACCAGAAUGUGGCCAUGCAAGUGCUGCACUCAUGAACCCUGGUGACUGGUGGUCUGGUCCAGGGCAUUUGUCAAUCAACACUGGGGCUUUCCUUUUGUCCUUGGCUAAAACACCACAGCAGGGAAUCUGCUUGAGGAAUUAAGAGAGGAGUAUGGUCACCUGACCCCUUUCAAAGAGCCCCACAUGUGCAACAACCUUCAGAACAGUCAGCCCCACUCCCCCCUUUGGGGUACAAUGGGAACUUGGUGCCAAUUGGGUUAGUUGAUUUUAUCUAGUUGGGGUUUUUUGUUAGGUUGGGACAUAUUGGGAAAUAAAUGAGGUUUAAAAAACGGCACAUCGAUAAGACUUUAAAACAUUGGUAUUGGCCUAUACAAUGAUGGCCAGAGCCCAGCCCAUCAUUCUGCCAUUAUAUCUUGAUGCUUAUGGGGUUUGAAAGCAUUAGUCCUGCAGUCCCCUAUCAAAAUACAAUGUUGCUGGAAAGUCUUAAAUUUCAGUUAUGAACUAACUUUAAGAUUAAUAGAAUAGGAGGGAAGAGAAGGGGCUAGGUGGAGGGGAGGCAGAGAAAGAUAAGUGGAAGCUCCAAAGUGACUCCCAUUGUUCUUACUUACAUAUGACUACUUCUCCCCAAGGUUUGUUUUUCUUAAUAUGUCCUUCAUGGGCUAUUAUAAAUAUUAACCACUUUUAUUCUGCAGCUAGCGGGGGCCAUAGUGCACAGAGAAUGGGUUAUUGGUUGGUUGGUGUCCUUCGUUCUUGAAGAGGACCAAGAUGACAUCACUAUGAGAGUCGAGUUAGUGUGUCUAGUUGUGGCUGAUCAGACCAACCCGAGCUCUGAGUGCUCUGCCACAGGGUGAACACCCAGUCUCUGUGAACAUUUGGGGGCAACAUGAGUUCUCCAUGAAACUCAAGUAUACAUUUGGCUGCAGUUAGGAAGACUCAUCACCUCAGGUCACUAGCCGUGUGAUCCAGGACAAGUCACUUCAGCCUGUUUCCUCAUCUGUAAAAUGGGCUGGAGAAGGAAAUGACAAACCACUCCAGUAUCUGUGCAAAGAAAACCCCAAAUGGGAUCAUGAAGAAUCGAUGUGGCUGAAAAACCGAAUGACAGUAUCUGUUUAUUGAAUAAAAUUUUUAAAAAGUUUC
This is a long non-coding RNA of Sarcophilus harrisii (Tasmanian devil), 2126 nucleotides long. Lineage: Eukaryota; Metazoa; Chordata; Mammalia; Dasyuromorphia; Dasyuridae. The record is from Ensembl.